This is a long non-coding RNA of Raphanus sativus (radish), 511 nucleotides long. RefSeq lists it as uncharacterized. The transcript is spliced from 2 exons. The record is from RefSeq and is a predicted model, not a curated record. NCBI's taxonomy places the organism in Eukaryota, Viridiplantae, Streptophyta, Magnoliopsida, Brassicales, Brassicaceae.
UGCUCAAGAUACUCCCCGUCCCAGGAAAAUUUUAAUCGUACUUCUUCUAAGUAAUGCGUUUAUAUCCAUGAUGCACGCUCCUUUCAAUGGAGAUUGAAGCCGAAAUGGAGCCUAGCUCUUCGUCCUUCUUUUCUGCUCUUAAUCUUCUUCCUUCUUAAUGUGUUGAUCCGUGCAUUUAAAUUCCAUUAGGGAAGUUUCUCGAUUGCAAUAUGAUCGAUUUAACGCUAGGUUUUGUCCUCUUGGGUGGUGUUGAAGUACAUGCUUCGAACGUGUCCGGUUUAGUGGUCAACACAGCUGGUGGUGUGUGGUACUCUUACGCCAAGUACCGGCCGGCAGAAAAAGGCUAAACCAGCUAAGCUAUUGACUGAUUUAGAAGCUCACAAAAAAAUGAGAACUUCUGGUCCGAUUCGGUUUCCACAUCAAAUAUGUCCAAUAAGUUAUAUUUGUAAUACUCCUACACUACCGUACGAACCGAUUAUUUUCUUAGAUUGAUUUAAAACAGUGUUGUACU